AAGUGGGUCAAUGUCUUAAAAAGUAGACUUUUAGAUCUAGUGGGGGUUUUUAAGUUUUCUUGCAAUCUAUGAGUUGGAUUGGAGUGAAACUUACAUGAGAGGAUAUUAGACUUAUUUUUCUAUGUGUAUGAGAUUUUUAAGAUCAAUCGAACGGUGCAAAGGAGAGAUAUUGGCUCUAGAAGAUUGGCAUUAAGUUUGGAGAAGGAGGCCGGCCAAUACCCGAGCACAUUUUUGAAGUUGUUGUCAAUUUGGUAACUCCGAUCCUUUUUAAUUUUUUUGUGCUUGUUUUUAACUUAUUUUUUUAGAAAUUUGAAAAAUUUGAGUUAAGAUCAAGAGUUUAUUCAUUAGUAAUUGAGGUUUAAAUCUAUUAUAGGAAUUACUAGGAUUUUGUUUAGGAUUUGGUUAGGAUUUGAUUUAGGGUUUAGAAUUUAGUUAGGGUUUGAUUUAGGAUUUAGAAUUUGGAUUAGGAUUUGGUUUAGGGUUUAGAGUUUGGAUUAAGAUUUGGUUUAGGAUUUAAGAUUUGGAUUAGGAUUUGAUUUAGGAUUUAGGAUUUGGUUUAGGAUUUGGUUAGGAUUUGAUUUAGGAUUUGGUUGGCAUUUGGUUUAAGGUUUGUUUAGGGUUUGAUUUAGGAUUUAGGAUUUUAUAAAGAUUUAAGAUUCAAUUAUUUUUAGUCUAAAGUUUGAAUAAAAUUCAAUAGGAUUUUAACUAGAAUUAAAUUAAGAUUGAAUUGAGAUGUAUUUGAGUGAUAUUUGUGAUCCUUUAAAUAUUUCUUUAAGAGUUUUUAUUGUUUGUUUGAAAUUUCUUUGAGAUUUUUUUGAAUUUGAUUAAGCUUGUUUAGCAUUAUUAUAGUCUAAUUAGAGCAUUGUUAGUAUUCUAUUAGAAUUAGGAUUUUAUUAUUGUAAUUUCCAUUCUUCCUUCCACAGCCAGGUGCCCAGAGCAUUCUCAAGCAAGACUUCACGUAUUAUGACAACGGGUAUCGAUUGGAAGUCUAAACUCUUUGCGACUUUAUGGGCAUAUCGUAUCGCAUAUAAAGUAACUAUCAACACUACUUCGUUCCAAUUAGUUCAUGGACAAGAGACAAUUUUACUUAUCGAGUUGGAGGUUCAAAGUUUAUGGAUUACUUUCGACAAACGUCUCAAUAACAAUGAGCCAUUACACUCUUGAUUAGUGAAAUUGUAGGAAUUA
This 1185-nucleotide long non-coding RNA is filed under the name Physcomitrium patens. RNAcentral describes it as "long non-coding RNA (PPAT_LNC008953)". The record is from RNAcentral. Lineage: Eukaryota; Viridiplantae; Streptophyta; Bryopsida; Funariales; Funariaceae.